This 473-nucleotide long non-coding RNA is filed under the name Heterocephalus glaber (naked mole-rat). RNAcentral's name for it is "lncRNA (ENSHGLG00100041435.1)". Lineage: Eukaryota; Metazoa; Chordata; Mammalia; Rodentia; Bathyergidae. The record is from RNAcentral.
GACCAUUUCAGGGCCAGUGGCUGGGGAAAGCCAGGGAGCCCUCCUGGAGGAAGGAUAGAGGGUCACAGGGAGGAGGAAGGAGGGCAGGAAGGACAGAGUUGCAGGGAGGGGAAAGAGGCUGCCCUUCACUUUUGUGUUUCUGGAAACGUCUGGACAAGCAGCAUUCCACAUGACCAUCAUGGAGCAGAGCAAAGCCUUCGGACCUCUCUCAGUUGUUAUGGUCUCCACGCCAACUCGAGGAGCAGAAUCACAGAGGCUGGAACAAGGGCCCAGAGCACCUGCGCCUGGACAGGAAAGACGAUGUCCAGUAUGUGGGAGGAGCUCUUCUUCCCAGGAGUGGAGAAGCUGAAUCCAAGAGGAUGCCAAGGCUCUGAAGUGAGGAACCUGUGGGGACCUACAUCCCGAAUCUGCUUUCAGAGGAAAACAUCUCCGACAGACCCAAUAAAUAUUCAUGUGAAGUCACACAAUACCCC